Mesocricetus auratus (golden hamster) is the source of this 132-nucleotide small nucleolar RNA. Its record names the gene SNORA72. It matches the Rfam family "Small nucleolar RNA SNORA72". From Rfam's summary of the family: U72 is a member of the H/ACA class of snoRNAs. The snoRNA gene is located in intron 4 of the ribosomal L30 protein gene in human, mouse and chicken. NCBI's taxonomy places the organism in Eukaryota, Metazoa, Chordata, Mammalia, Rodentia, Cricetidae. The record is from Ensembl.
AUAUGGAUAUUUCCCCUGUUCUGAUUCUGUGGUAAUCAGGACCAGCUAAAAAUACUCUACACUUAAGACUAUGCACGUGUCCCCAUAACUAGUUCUAUCCCUAGGCCUGGUUUUAAAAAGCUGCGGAAAAGA